This 465-nucleotide ribosomal RNA is filed under the name uncultured bacterium. Its description in RNAcentral is "partial 16S ribosomal RNA". It matches the Rfam family "Bacterial small subunit ribosomal RNA", at positions 28 to 507 of the family's 1533-position model. The record is from RNAcentral.
GACGAACGCUGGCGGCGUGCUUAACACAUGCAAGUCGAACGGAAAGGCCCUGCUUGCAGGGUACUCGAGUGGCGAACGGGUGAGUAACACGUGGGUGAUCUGCCCUGCACUUCGGGAUAAGCCUGGGAAACUGGGUCUAAUACCGGAUAGGAGCCAUUUUUAGUGUGAUGGUUGGAAAGUUUUUUCGGUGUAGGAUGAGCUCGCGGCCUAUCAGCUUGUUGGUGGGGUAAUGGCCUACCAAGGCGGCGACGGGUAGCCGGCCUGAGAGGGUGGACGGCCACAUUGGGACUGAGAUACGGCCCAGACUCCUACGGGAGGCAGCAGUGGGGAAUAUUUCACAAUGGGCGCAAGCCUGAUGCAGCGACGCCGCGUGGGGGAUGACGGCCUUCGGGUUGUAAACUCCUUUCGCUAGGGACGAAGCUUUUUGUGACGGUACCUAGAUAAGAAGCACCGGCUAACUACGUG